This 97-nucleotide Y RNA is filed under the name Microcebus murinus (gray mouse lemur). RNAcentral's name for it is "Y RNA (ENSMICG00000042902.1)". It matches the Rfam family "Y RNA". From Rfam's summary of the family: Y RNAs are components of the Ro ribonucleoprotein particle (Ro RNP), in association with Ro60 and La proteins. The Y RNAs and Ro60 and La proteins are well conserved, but the function of the Ro RNP is not known. Lineage: Eukaryota; Metazoa; Chordata; Mammalia; Primates; Cheirogaleidae. The record is from Rfam by way of RNAcentral.
AGCUGGUCCAAUGAUAAUGGGUUCUCAGAAUUUAUUAACAUUAGUAUCACUAAAGUUGAUAUACACCCAGCCCCCUGCUAAUUUUGACUGGCUUAAA